RNAcentral lists this long non-coding RNA (661 nucleotides) under Gossypium raimondii (Peruvian cotton). RNAcentral's name for it is "long non-coding RNA (GRAI_LNC004301)". The record is from RNAcentral. Lineage: Eukaryota; Viridiplantae; Streptophyta; Magnoliopsida; Malvales; Malvaceae.
CGGCUUUUUCUUUUCUUCUUUUCAUCUUUGUAUCAAAAAACAUAUAUCAUCAGCAAGAAAUAAAAAUCAAGCUUUAAGGUGAUUUUUUAGAUCCGAUUUCAAUCUCUUUUUUUUUUCCUUUUUUUGUUGUUUUUAUUUUUUAUUUCUUAUUUCUUAAACGAAAAUAAAAGAGAAAAGGAAAAAGGGAACUCACCGGAGAGAAGGCUUCGGGCGCCUCUAUGACACCUCGUCGGCCGUCGGGGUGGUGGCGGUGCGGCGAGUGGCGCGGCGGAAGCCAAGUGACCCGAUGGUCGGAUUUCUUCGAGAGAAAAAGGGUCCCCUUUUUUUUGUUUUUUUUAGGAAGAGCGGCUGAAGUGAAUUUUUGGAAGAAAAAUGGGUUUAAAUAACCCCAUAAAACGGCGCCGUUUGGGCUUAAGGUUUAGAGACUAAAAACGGCGUCGUUUUGGUCUCUGACCCGCGUGGUGACCCGACCCAGGGGGAGGAUCCGCGUGUUUUCUUCAAAUGGAAUAUUUGCGCAAUUAGUCCUUUUGAUUUUAUAGCGCUUUCAUGGAAGUUUUCUGCAUAUUUGCGAUUUGGCCACAAAAUUUUAUUUUUGGUUCAUUUUAGUCCCCAUCGAAGCACAGCGUUUUGAGGCUUUGGAGUAUUUACCAUUUUGGUCCCC